Molecule: ribosomal RNA, 253 nt
Filed under: uncultured bacterium
Lineage: Bacteria
Description: partial 16S ribosomal RNA
Rfam family: Bacterial small subunit ribosomal RNA
Source: RNAcentral
UACGUAGGGGGCGAGCGUUGUCCGGAAUUACUGGGCGUAAAGCGCACGCAGGCGGUUCGCCAAGUUUGGAGUGACAGUUGUCGGCUCAACCGACAAAGGACUUCAAAAACUGGUGAACUUGAGGACGAGAGAGGAACAUGGAACUCCAGGUGUAGUAGUGAAAUGCGUAGAUAUCUGGAAGAACACCAACGGCGAAAGCACUCUGCUGGGCCGACACUGACACUGAGAGACGAAAGCUAGGGGAGCGAAUGGG